Molecule: ribosomal RNA, 1015 nt
Filed under: Bacillus aerophilus
Lineage: Bacteria; Bacillati; Bacillota; Bacilli; Caryophanales; Bacillaceae
Description: bacterial SSU rRNA
Rfam family: Bacterial small subunit ribosomal RNA
Source: RNAcentral
CCGGGUGCGGCGUGCUAUAAUGCAGUCGAGCGGACAGAAGGGAGCUUGCUCCCGGAUGUUAGCGGCGGACGGGUGAGUAACACGUGGGUAACCUGCCUGUAAGACUGGGAUAACUCCGGGAAACCGGAGCUAAUACCGGAUAGUUCCUUGAACCGCAUGGUUCAAGGAUGAAAGACGGUUUCGGCUGUCACUUACAGAUGGACCCGCGGCGCAUUAGCUAGUUGGUGAGGUAACGGCUCACCAAGGCGACGAUGCGUAGCCGACCUGAGAGGGUGAUCGGCCACACUGGGACUGAGACACGGCCCAGACUCCUACGGGAGGCAGCAGUAGGGAAUCUUCCGCAAUGGACGAAAGUCUGACGGAGCAACGCCGCGUGAGUGAUGAAGGUUUUCGGAUCGUAAAGCUCUGUUGUUAGGGAAGAACAAGUGCAAGAGUAACUGCUUGCACCUUGACGGUACCUAACCAGAAAGCCACGGCUAACUACGUGCCAGCAGCCGCGGUAAUACGUAGGUGGCAAGCGUUGUCCGGAAUUAUUGGGCGUAAAGGGCUCGCAGGCGGUUUCUUAAGUCUGAUGUGAAAGCCCCCGGCUCAACCGGGGAGGGUCAUUGGAAACUGGGAAACUUGAGUGCAGAAGAGGAGAGUGGAAUUCCACGUGUAGCGGUGAAAUGCGUAGAGAUGUGGAGGAACACCAGUGGCGAAGGCGACUCUCUGGUCUGUAACUGACGCUGAGGAGCGAAAGCGUGGGGAGCGAACAGGAUUAGAUACCCUGGUAGUCCACGCCGUAAACGAUGAGUGCUAAGUGUUAGGGGGUUUCCGCCCCUUAGUGCUGCAGCUAACGCAUUAAGCACUCCGCCUGGGGAGUACGGUCGCAAGACUGAAACUCAAAGGAAUUGACGGGGGCCCGCACAAGCGGUGGAGCAUGUGGUUUAUUCGAAGCAACGCGAAGAACCUUACCAGGUCUUGACAUCCUUCUGACAACCCUAGAGAUAGGGCUUUCCCUUCGGGGACAGGAGUG